This 342-nucleotide transfer RNA is filed under the name Calothrix sp. BTA206. Its description in RNAcentral is "partial 16S-23S ribosomal RNA intergenic spacer". The stretch from base 106 to 178 matches the Rfam family "tRNA". Lineage: Bacteria; Bacillati; Cyanobacteriota; Cyanophyceae; Nostocales; Calotrichaceae. The record is from RNAcentral.
CUGGUUCGAGUCCAGGAUGGCCCACCUGAAGAUAAUUAGUAAUUACUAAUUCGUAGUUCGUAAUUAAUUACGAAUUAUGCAAUAUGAAUUACGAAUUAUUUUGAUGGGGGUUUAGCUCAGUUGGUAGAGCGCCUGCUUUGCAAGCAGGAUGUCAGCGGUUCGAGUCCGCUAACCUCCACAUUAUCUCUGUAGUGAAAGUAAAAAAAGCAAUAAAAUUGUUUUUGAGACGAAAGCAGAGAAUGUGGUAAGACGAAAGAUUGUGGAUAAAACCAGCAAUUGACUCUUUGUUUAAAUAGUCAAACUGCUGGACUAAUUCCAGCCAGAACCUUGAAAAACUGCACA